RNAcentral lists this ribosomal RNA (642 nucleotides) under uncultured Actinomycetes bacterium. RNAcentral describes it as "bacterial SSU rRNA". It matches the Rfam family "Bacterial small subunit ribosomal RNA", at positions 232 to 885 of the family's 1533-position model. The record is from RNAcentral. Lineage: Bacteria; Bacillati; Actinomycetota; Actinomycetes.
CGCGGCCUAUCAGCUUGUUGGUGAGGUAAUGGCUCACCAAGGCGACGACGGGUAGCCGGCCUGAGAGGGCGACCGGCCACACUGGGACUGAGACACGGCCCAGACUCCUACGGGAGGCAGCAGUGGGGAAUAUUGCACAAUGGGCGAAAGCCUGACGCAGCGACGCCGCGUGAGGGAUGACGGCCUUCGGGUUGUAAACCUCUUUCAGCAGGGAAGAAGCGAAAGUGACGGUACCUGCAGAAGAAGCGCCGGCUAACUACGUGCCAGCAGCCGCGGUAAUACGUAGGGCGCAAGCGUUGUCCGGAAUUAUUGGGCGUAAAGAGCUCGUAGGCGGUUUGUCGCGUCUGCUGUGAAAGCCCGGGGCUCAACCCCGGGUCUGCAGUGGGUACGGGCAGACUAGAGUGCAGUAGGGGAGACUGGAAUUCCUGGUGUAGCGGUGAAAUGCGCAGAUAUCAGGAGGAACACCGAUGGCGAAGGCAGGUCUCUGGGCAUGUCCUGACGCUGAGGAGCGAAAGCGUGGGGAGCGAACAGGAUUAGAUACCCUGGUAGUCCACGCCGUAAACGGUGGGUGCUAGGUGUGGGGGACUUCCACGUCCUCCGUGCCGCAGCUAACGCAUUAAGCACCCCGCCUGGGGAGUACGG